AGAAUCAACGCUGGCGGCGUGCCUAACACAUGCAAGUCGAACGAGAAAGUGGAGCAAUCCACGAGUAAAGUGGCGCACGGGUGAGUAACACGUGACUACCUACCCUUGAGUGGGGGAUAACCUAGGGAAACCUGGGCUAAUACCGCAUAACACCUACGGGUCAAAGGAGCAAUUCGCUUAAGGAGGGGGUCGCGGCCGAUUAGUUAGUUGGCGGGGUAAUGGCCCACCAAGACGAUGAUCGGUAUCC
This 247-nucleotide ribosomal RNA is filed under the name uncultured bacterium. Its description in RNAcentral is "partial small subunit ribosomal RNA". It matches the Rfam family "Bacterial small subunit ribosomal RNA", at positions 26 to 288 of the family's 1533-position model. The record is from RNAcentral.